Sorex araneus (European shrew) is the source of this 137-nucleotide small nucleolar RNA. RefSeq annotates it as small nucleolar RNA SNORA72. The record is from RefSeq and is a predicted model, not a curated record. Lineage: Eukaryota; Metazoa; Chordata; Mammalia; Eulipotyphla; Soricidae. The transcript has a single exon.
UUACUGGUGCCCACUCGAGCAAAUCGAUGAGCAACGGGAUGACAGUGACAGUGACAGUUUUAAAAAGACCAUGCAUGUACACCCAGACCUAGUUCUUUACCUACCUAAGACUGGUCUUAGAAACGCUGGUGAUAAAA